AGCAUUAGUAACGGGUCUAACGGCUAGUCCCCGAGGAGCCCCUCGUGACCCCCUUUAGUACCAGGUGGAGGCUUCACCCAGUACUAAAGGUCACAAAUUAGUACUGGUCGAAGCCUCUAAUCGGUACUAAUAUGCCUGAGGGCCUUUAGUACGGAGUGGAGGCUUCACCUGUACUAAAUCGCAACCUCCCCUCACGCGUCAUCAGCCCCCCUUCUCUCUCUCACCCCACCAUGCUCAUCCCCC
This 243-nucleotide long non-coding RNA is filed under the name Setaria viridis. RNAcentral describes it as "long non-coding RNA (SVIR_LNC003914)". The record is from RNAcentral. Lineage: Eukaryota; Viridiplantae; Streptophyta; Magnoliopsida; Poales; Poaceae.